AGGAUCAUUAUCGAGUUUUUGAAUGGGGUUGUUGCUGGCCUACUUGGGCAUGUGCACGCUCUAUUCAAUCCACUCUUUAUUAUACACACCUGUGCACUUAUAGUAGGCAUGAAGGGAUCAGUUUUGUUAUUACAGAGCUGUUUCUCCUUGUGCUUAUGUUUUUAUUAUUAUCAAUGCGGAAACUGUAUUGGGAUGUGCAAUGGAAUAUAAAUAUAUAUAUUUAUAAUACAACUUUCAGCAACGGAUCUCUUGGCUCUCGCAUCGAUGAAGAACGCAGCGAAAUGCGAUAAGUAAUGUGAAUUGCAGAAUUCAGUGAAUCAUCGAAUCUUUGAACGCACCUUGCGCUCCUUGGUAUUCCGAGGAGCAUGCCUGUUUGAGUGUCAUGAAAUUAUCAACCGAUAAACACUUGUGUUUAUAGGAUUGGAUAUUGGAGGGCUUUUGUUGGCCUUUAAUAGGUCGGCUCCUCUGAAAUGUAUUAGCUUGGUUUGUUGCGGAUCAGGUGUCAGUGUGAUAAGCUUAUGUUUCUGCGCUGUGACUGUGAAGUGUAUUUGACCAAGCUUCUAACAAAAUGAUAUAUGGGAUUUUUGGGCUUCUGACCUCAAAUCAGGUAGGAGUACCCGCUGAACUUAAGCAUAUCAAUAAGCGGAGGAAAAGAAACUAACAAGGAUUCCCCUAGUAACUGCGAGUGAAGCGGGAAAAGCUCAAAUUUAAAAUC
RNAcentral lists this ribosomal RNA (715 nucleotides) under uncultured Polyporales. Its description in RNAcentral is "eukaryotic LSU rRNA". The stretch from base 230 to 383 matches the Rfam family "5.8S ribosomal RNA". Lineage: Eukaryota; Fungi; Basidiomycota; Agaricomycetes; Polyporales. The record is from RNAcentral.